UUUCCUACCUAUGNGUCUUGACCAAAUUACGUGCCAGCAGUCGCGGUAAUACGUAGAAGACUAGUGUUAUUCAUCUUUAAUAGGUUUAAAGGGUACCUAGACGGUAAAUCAAGUCCUAAAAGGAUACUAAUUUACUAGAGUUUAAUGUGAGGGGGCACUAAAGUACUGAUAAGUGUAGAGAUGAAAUUCUGUGAUACAAUAUACGGCACUGGUAAAGGCGAAAGCAUCUCAUUAUGUAAUAACUGACGUUGAGGGACGAAGGCUAGGUGUAGCAAAAAGGAUUAGAUACCCAAGUAGUCUUAGCAGAAAAUUAUGAAUGUCAUAGGAUAGAAAAAGGGACAAAAUUUUUUUUUCUAUAAAUGAAAGUGUAAGCAUUCCACCUCGAGAGUAAUUUGGCAACAUUGGAACUGAAAUCAUUAGACCGUUUCUGAAACAAGUAGUGAAGUAUGUUGUUUAAUUUGAUAGUCCGCAAAAAACCUUACCACAAUUUGAAUAGAAAAUUUUCUUUCAUACAAGCGCUGCACGGUUGUCUUCAGUUAAUGUCGUGAGAUUUUGGUUAGUUCCAUUAAAUUAACGUAAACCCUUAUUUUAUUUUUAUAUAGAGUAGUUCACCGCUAGAUUGGAUGUGAUAACAGGGACUAAGACAAGUCAUCAUGGCCUUAAUAUUGUGGGCUAUA
This 677-nucleotide ribosomal RNA is filed under the name Rinodina degeliana. RNAcentral describes it as "SSU rRNA". It matches the Rfam family "Bacterial small subunit ribosomal RNA", at positions 476 to 1218 of the family's 1533-position model. The record is from RNAcentral. Lineage: Eukaryota; Fungi; Ascomycota; Lecanoromycetes; Caliciales; Physciaceae.